Long non-coding RNA from Triticum aestivum (bread wheat), 2528 nucleotides. RefSeq lists it as uncharacterized. Lineage: Eukaryota; Viridiplantae; Streptophyta; Magnoliopsida; Poales; Poaceae. The record is from RefSeq and is a predicted model, not a curated record. The transcript has 3 exons.
GAUCAGGAGGGCGAGUCGAGCCAUGGUUAAACGGCGCCGUCUCGUGCUGGAUUCUGAUCCAUGGCUUGGUAGUUUCGUGCUCUAUCUGAUCCGUGGCUCAGUUUGGUAGCCCUCCCGCUCUACGCGUUGCCCGCCGCGUGAGGCCAAUGAGCAGCGCCCCGCCCCGCCGCGUGCCCAGGCCGACGAGCAGUACAGGAUCGGCCGCUGACAGCGGUGAGUGCAGGCGCGGCAGCCGGGGAAGCUGUGGCGGCGGCGGAUCUGGCGACCGCCGGGUCGGCUUGUCGUUCGUGACCGGCUGGAGUCGCGGCGAGGCGCUGUAGUCCAUGGAGUCUGGUGGCUAGCUGACGAACACUUGCUCUUGGACGCCGCUGCGGCUACUAACGUUUUCUUCUGAAUUUGGCAUGCAACACUACUUUACCUCAAUCAGUUCAGCGGCUAGUGGUGCCAAGUGCUGGAUGUUAGAUGCUCGUUUUCUGAAUUUGCGAUUGCUCUUGGCCUUGUCAAGUGCGUUUUCUGAAUGUUCAGAUCUGCCGCUAGCUAUGCAAGUGCGUUUUCUGAAUUUCCGCAAGUGCAACGGCCAGGUUCAGUUUUAGUUGAGUGUAGCACUAGUGCAGGCUCUGGAAGAUCAGUUAUAAUUCAUUGUAGUACUAGUGUAUGUCUAACAAAUUAAAUGUUACGUAGUAGAUAGAUGCACAGUUAGUUCAGCAAUGUCAAGUUCGGUUUUCGUUCAGUGUAGUACUGCUCAAGUUGAGUUUAGUUCAGGUAUAAAAUUAUAUGUUGCAGCAAUCCGAGCGAUUGUGAUUCUCGUGUUGCCUGUAGGUUUUCCGUUAGGGAGGAGUUCGGUGAUAGCUUGGAGCAGCCGGUUCCGACCCGUCUACCGCUCGUGAUAGGGAAGGAAAGUCUGUGGCCUUUGCCACGCGAGUCCAAUGUGGCGUCCGCCUACGCCGAAGUUGUUGGAGACUGUGGACUCCCUUUGAGCAGGGCGAGAGCUGAGCGGAGGAAGAAAGCAUCGCCGAGGGAGUCCGUUGUAUAGACAAGCAACGUGAAUCCUGAAGCCCCGGGAUGGACCAAGAGGUAAUAUCUUCAGGAGGGUUAAUUCUGACUUCCUUGAACCUUAAUACUGAUAUUUCUGAUAGAGCAUAGUAGGUUCAUGUAGAUCUGCGUUCUUACCAGAUUGCCCAACACAUGGGGUCUUGAAGAAAUCAAUUGAUGUAAUUCGUGUGUUUCUUUUGACAUUUGUUAUGGUUUGCCUAGUAAAGGAGUUAGCCAAGUUUGGUAGAAAAGUUGGGUUUGUCAGGUCGAACCAUUUGCAGCUUAGUAUAGCUGCUUGAGUUCAAUUGCCUAGCCUCGGUGGCGUGGAAAAAUCAAUUGAUGGCACGGGCGUUGAGCCGCCGGACUCGAACGCUGGGUCCGGGUGCGGGAAACAUGUUGGCGGUGCUAGCCAGGGGCGGCAAGAGGGUAACGGGCGACGUCAAGGUCCGCACAGUCGACCAAUAGAGUGAAUCCAGAGGAUCCAGGUUGGACAAAAAGGAUGAGCUUUGCAAGCCAGAUAACGAAGUGGAUAGGGAUUACAUCGAGAUGAUGAACUCUACACUAAUGGGUUACAGAAUUGACUGGUUGAAGAAGUUCAUCCUCCCCAGUGUUGUUCAUGGACUCCUGGUCGUUGUACAUUCUAGACAUCGAGAACAAGGAAGUUAUGGUGCUUGAUCCAACUGAGACAGAUCCAGCGAAUGAGAUGAUAAAGCAUGAGGCUUUGGCAAAGAGCUUCCUGUACAGAUUUUGCAACCGCUUCAACGACAUGUUUGGUGGUGGAUUGGUCGAGACUACUGGGUGGACCUUUAUUUACCCAUUAGUUGCGCAACACGAACCGUGUAUGAGGUGAGUUUGUCCAGAAAUAAUUUAUAAAUAAAAUUAUUUUAUGUGCCUUUCAUAUGGCGAGACAACGAAUGGGAAUACCGUUGCCACCAAGGAGGAGAGUGGGGUGUACAUCGUCCACUACAUAACGGAGCUCACAGGGCUUUAGCAUCGUUCAUUGCUAAGCCCAUAAAAAGAAAAUUUUGUUUCGAGUGAUGAACUGAAAGAACACCGAAAAGCAGCAAUGUUGUCUGUACACUAAGUCGUGCUUCUUGAUGUUUUUUUUGUUUGACACGGGAGAAGCUAGAUCACCUUCGGUAGAAUAUUGCAUACGAUGUUGUGACCAUGAUGGGAAACAAGGGUGAUCUCCCGGUUUUCCAUUGCGAGGAGAUAAUUGACUAAUGGGGAAUGAAUCGUGGUUCAGAUUACUUGCAGGCUGGUAACAUCUUUUGUCCGUGCGCGUGGUAUGUCCAUUUAAGUGCACCCAUUAGUGUUGGGGGGCUUUUGGAGAAACCAAAAUCCGAAGUAGUGUGUGAUGGAAACCUAUGGACCUUAUUUGAAUUUGUACUUAAAGACCUGAGUAGAGUCAGGAGACCUACAUGUGUGCAGUGUUGUGAAUUGCCGAAGCAUAGGCUUGCUUCAUGUAUCAGAACCCAUGGGAAGUAGUUGAAAAU